CAAAGGCUGCGGAGCCAAUGCCGACAGACGGUCUGCCGGAAGCUCCGCCGCCCAGGAAGGUUGGCGCCAGGUGCCGAUGGAUCCGUAGCAGAUACAGCGGCGACGGCAGAGUUGUUGUUAGCGGCGGCAGCAGACACGGCGGAAUUGUCAGAAGGGAUGGCGGACAUGGAGGCGGUAGGGUUGGUGAGGCCAGAGUCAAGGCCCCCCUCGAAGUCGAAGCUGAGACCACCGUCUGUGUCCUCCAUUGGUAGACAAAAGGGCGUACGUGCCUAGGUUCGGAUUAGGGUUUUCUGUAUGGAGAUCAUUCACAAUGUAAAUUUUGAUAUCGGUAAGAGAAAACUGGAGAAACCUCGCUAGGUCGCUGCCUGGGUUUUGG
RNAcentral lists this unclassified non-coding RNA (376 nucleotides) under Hevea brasiliensis (rubber tree). Lineage: Eukaryota; Viridiplantae; Streptophyta; Magnoliopsida; Malpighiales; Euphorbiaceae. The record is from RNAcentral.